Acanthosepion pharaonis is the source of this 113-nucleotide non-coding RNA. The record is from the annotation of a GenBank genome assembly. Lineage: Eukaryota; Metazoa; Mollusca; Cephalopoda; Sepiida; Sepiidae.
UUACGGCCACAUUACGUUGAAACACUGGGUCUCGUGCGAUCGCUGGAGUUAAGCAACAUCGAGCAUUGUCAGUACCUAGAAGGGUGACCGUUUGGAAAUAUCAAGUGCUGUAA